Molecule: long non-coding RNA, 1419 nt
Filed under: Selaginella moellendorffii
Lineage: Eukaryota; Viridiplantae; Streptophyta; Lycopodiopsida; Selaginellales; Selaginellaceae
Description: long non-coding RNA (SMOE_LNC002216)
Source: RNAcentral
UCAAGCCCUAAGAUGGAUAAUUCUUUCAGCGCAGGCUUUUCCAAAUUCUAUUUGUGAAGAGGGCUUUCUCCUUUAGUAACUUCUCUUCUCGUCUCUCAAAAUUUCGAAAACACACCUUACCUUGCGAGCCUAAUAAGAGAGGCCAAGGCUAAAAGACCUAAGACUUACGACACUGAUUCAGCAGAGCAAAAUCAGUGCGCUGCUGGAUUUGCUCGUCACUGCUCUUCAGGUCCUUUCUCAUGGCCCGUCGUCUCUCUCUCUCGGCGCUUACCGUCACCUCUCCCUGGCCGAGAUGGCUCGAAAGAAUAGCCCUCCGGCUCGGAGUCCGGCCUCACCUUGUCCCGGAGAUGGCGAGGCAAGUCCUCAAGGAGCACGACGCCGCGUUUGCGAGAAGGCCCCACUACUCCUUCGUGCCUCGCCUGCCUCCUCAGCCACAACUUGACCUCAUCUUUCGGCGAGCGAUGGAAGAUGCUGCGGCGAGUGAGAGUGAGCGCCGCGGAGCUCUUCACGGCCUCCAAAGUCAGCCACUUGGAGCUGGGAGCGUUUGGAUCGAUCGUCGAGUUGAUCUCAGCUCCAUGCUGCACGAGUACUUCACGAACCUCAUGACGAGCGUGUUGAUCGGGAGGAAGUUCUACGGUACCGACGAGCCGCUCACUCCCGAGGCCGAGGACUACAAGGAGUCGGAUCGUAGCGAAAGAAUCCAGAUGGCUCUUUGCGGGUGAUUACAUCCCUGCGCUGCGGUGGCUGGACACGCUCAGGACGCAAAAUCGUCUCAAGAAUGAGGUCUUACCAGCAAGAGCUCGCUUUCUCAAAGCAGUCAUCGAGGAGCACACGGAAGGCUUCGAUCCAGGAAAUCCCCGGGACUUUGUCGACGUGAUGCUGACUCUGGGAGGCGAAAACAAGCUCAGCGACAACCGCUGCUCCAGGUAGAAAGAAAAAGCUUACCUUGUUCUUCGUACUUUGUUCUUUCUCACGUAAGCUUGCGGCACUCUAACUUCCAGGACGACGAUCGAAUGGGCCAUCUCGGAGCUGAUCCUAAACCCCAGAAUCCAGGGGAGAGCUCACGAGGAGCUGGACAGAGUCGUGGGAAGAGAUCGCUCUCUGGAGGAGUGGGAUCUAAAAGACCUGCCUUGCAUCACACCACAGUCCUCGUUAACGUCUGGGCAAUCCAUCACGACCCAAGCGUCUGGAGCGACCCCGAGCUCUCCCCCCGAGCGAUUCCUGGGCAGCGACCACAGCGUGCUGGGGAAUGACUUCGAUCUCCUGCCCUACUCGUCGGGGCGGCGCCGCUGCGUCGAAUCCCCGUGUCAAGCUCACCUUCGCCUACCUCUUGCAUCGAUGGAGCUGGCGAUCGCCGCCUGGGAAGAGCGCGCAAUUGUCUAUCGCUAAAACCCUAAGAUCCUCUCAUUUUGAUUUCAA